AUAUAUAUAUAUAUUAGUCGUUGGUUUGUGAUGCAUUAGACAUGCUUGUCUGAGACGGUAAUAUCAAGAAGUUCAUUAAGGAGAAAUGUUGAUUACAUAUAUUCCAAUCAGUACACAAGAAGUGUACAAAAGGAUUAUACAAUCAUUAUUGAGGUUGAAAUGUGCCCUAUCUCUCUAUAUAAAUGUAGUACAAUAUAGUUAUGAUUUCAUGGAGUAGGAAUUGGCUUCAGAAUUGGCAAUGGUGGUAGAAGUGGCUUCUUGAAUUUGGGAUCAAGGGGUAGCUUAGGAAUAGGCUUUUUGAAGNNNNN
RNAcentral lists this long non-coding RNA (308 nucleotides) under Phaseolus vulgaris (common bean). RNAcentral's name for it is "long non-coding RNA (PVUL_LNC000879)". Lineage: Eukaryota; Viridiplantae; Streptophyta; Magnoliopsida; Fabales; Fabaceae. The record is from RNAcentral.